Molecule: small nucleolar RNA, 78 nt
Organism: Juglans regia (Persian walnut)
Lineage: Eukaryota; Viridiplantae; Streptophyta; Magnoliopsida; Fagales; Juglandaceae
Product: small nucleolar RNA R160
Exons: 1
Source: RefSeq, a predicted model, not a curated record
AGCAAAAUGAUGAGUCUAUCAUAUCUGAACAUCAUGUAGAAUCCUUAUCAGAUUGGUCUUCAAAGUUCUCUGAUUGCU